Non-coding RNA from Vigna umbellata (rice bean), 848 nucleotides. Lineage: Eukaryota; Viridiplantae; Streptophyta; Magnoliopsida; Fabales; Fabaceae. The record is from RefSeq and is a predicted model, not a curated record.
CAUUUUUACAUAUAGAAGACUAGAGGAAAAUAAAAUUUUGAAAUUUUUUUGAAACGGAAACGCGAUGAUGAAUCCCAAGGUCCUGUUCGUGCUUGCUCUGCUUCUUAAUCUCGUGGCCAAUUCGUUCCAAAAACCUAACCCUAAAACGCCAAAAUCAACGCUUUCGCGGGCUCACGUGGAGCUCGUCAGCUACGGUUUACCCUCCGGUCUUCUUCCCGCCACCACCGUCCUGGGAUACGCCGUGAACCGGACCACCGGGGAGUUUACCGUCAAGCUCGGUGGCGCGUGCAAAAUCACGCUCCCGCCGGACAACUACGUUGCCACCUACUCCGACACCAUCUCCGGAAAAAUCGUGCAGGGGAAAAUCGCGGAACUUGACGGAAUUAGGGUUCGAGCGCUCUUCAAGUGGUGGUCGAUCACCGGAAUCCGCUCCUCCGGCGACGAUAUCGUCUUCGAGGUCGGCAUGGUCACGGCGAAGUAUCCAUCGAAGAAUUUCGAUGAUAGCCCCGCGUGCGAGGGUCAACACUCUUCUUCAUGAAAAGAUGUCAGGUUUUCGUGUCACGAAAUCUCGUUGUUAUAUCUUCUUUUUAGGUGCAUUGAUGAAACAGGGUAUUCGCUGCUUAUUCUGAGUCUUGGUGUGUUAUGUCAUGAGAUAGCAUAGCAUCCAUAUGUGUCCACUAAGUGCAGAUAAUUUAAAGUCACUCCUGUUAUGUGUAAUAUUUUACAAGGCUUGUAAUACUUUUUACAUAGUCGUAUUUAUGCUGCCACGAAUCUACUUUAAUUUCACUUGAUGGUCACAAUACUCCUUGGACUCCUGAAUAAGGCCACUUUCUACGCUUCAUGUUCAA